Cavia porcellus (domestic guinea pig) is the source of this 33188-nucleotide RNA transcript. RefSeq lists it as uncharacterized. Lineage: Eukaryota; Metazoa; Chordata; Mammalia; Rodentia; Caviidae. The record is from RefSeq and is a predicted model, not a curated record. The transcript has 2 exons.
GUAUAAGAAUGACAAAUAUUAUUUUCUAUCUACUACAACACUUUGACCCCUCCAUGUGCUGAUGAUUUUGUCAGUUUAAAAAUAAUGAAAUGCAAUGUAAAUUUUCUCUUUCUGCUUUCUAUAUUGUUUGGUGGCAAAUACAGGAAAAAAAUUGAGGAAGACAAUUUCAAGCUGUAGACAUUUCCUCCUUUUGCAUCAUCUUAAAAAUGAGUGAAUUAUAUUUGUGCAGAAGCCUUGUGACUUUCAUUUUCAAAAUGCACACUAGUGUGUCUCCCUUCAUGGAGCUCAAGACCAUGGACAGCGAACUAAUAUUAAAUCAUUAAAUACAAAGGGCUCCAGUAAAAUUUUGUGAAAGCAGAAUAUAAGUUUGCAUUUAAAAUAUGUUAGGAGCAAAGACAAAUUUUAUAAUUUUAAGAUGGUUACAUCUCUUUAAAAACAUGGCAUUUCAAACUUACUCUACCAAGUUUCAGAGAAAUAAUUUUUGUGUUCAGGAUUUACCUUGUCUCAAAGAGUACAUAUUGUUUAUCCAAUUAAAAUAAGAUGAAGUGUACCUUUUGUUACUGCUAAUAACACAUUUAAAUGCAUCCACUUUUACAAAUGGACUGUUUCUUAUAAGGCUUUCAAGCAAAGUGGAACAGAGAAAUUCUACUAUUUUAGGCCAGCAUUAGCUGAAUGACAUUAGAGCAAAUUAAAUUGAUUUUUAUCAGUAACUGAAUUUUUUAAUCCUUAGAAUUGGAAAAAUUAAAUGCCACUUUGAUAGACAGGGAUAAUAUGAAUAGAGAUAUAAUCCAGCUAGUCCUUUUGCCUCUAGUUAGACAUUUUAGUUUAUAACUGACAGUGCAAUGUUGUAGACAAAUAUUCAUUUUAUUUGCCAGUAAGUUACUGGGGUUUUUUUCAUACAUAUUAAUUCAAUUUGGGACACAGGAUUUCUUCGAUGUAACUUCCUAUUAGAUAUCCAUCUAUUUCGUUUUGAGCAGUAUUUGAAUUGUCUUUAUUCCUUUUUCAGGAGGAAAAUUAAAGUCAUUUAUUUUAUGGUUUAUGUAAUGCAUUCAAAAAUAUUCAUUCAAAUUUCCAAUUUCAUGUUCUUUUGGCUUAUUUCAUAACCUCACUUCAGUGUGACUGUAAAGGCCUGGAAAAUCAUAUAAAGCAAAAAUAAACAUGCUACAGAAAUUAAGACUGUUUAUAGUUAAGAAUAAACACCAUCAAUUUAAAGCUAUGUUGAUAUUUAGAAAGAAAUUCUUGAUAUGUAUCCACCUAUAUUUAUAUGUGCCUAUAGAAUUCUUUGAAUUGCAGGUUUCUAAACUUAGGUGCUAGAUAUGUUUGAUUACACACACAUAUUUUUUAAAAAUCAGCAUCUUCAAGUCACCUGAAAAGAAUAUGCAAUGAUGUUUUAGUGUGUCCUGAUCAGGACCAUGGUGAGGUCCCCUGACUCGAAGAAAGGUGGCCCAGGGCUCUGUCUGGGAUGCAAACCAAGGUGAAAAGACGUUAUUGUUCAGGAUUCCACAUUUCUCGUCAUGGUAUUCCUGAUAAAAUGAAGCAUAAAUCUAGAGCUUGGCCUGAGGAAAGGGUGGCAUCGAGAUUCCUGAGAGAAGAUGCUUGCGCACAUAAUUAUAAAGAGAUCUCUUGUCUAGAGCUGGCUAUCUAUCUGGCCUAGCAUGCUUAUUUUUCUGUUAACCAAGCAAGAGUGGGAGAAUCAGAAGAACCCAGGCGUCUGGACGAGGUUUCUAGUUGAGAUGCUGGAGGGCAGUGGGCUCUCUCCAUUUUAGGGCGGCACAUCUGAGAAUAGUGACUUCCGCCUGCUUGGAAGGAGCCUGAGCAGGGAGGCGAGGAGGAUGAGAGGAUAUGGGAAGGUGUCUCCGGGGCUGUCUGUGCUGACAUCAAGGGGAGCCCAAGCAAGGGCGAGCACUUGCCCUUCGCUGUACCCUGGCGCGGCUCCUGGGGGCUGCGAUCCUUUUGCGGCUCUUGGGUUUCAAGGACACAGCUUGCUGCUCAGGACUUUGGGAGCCAACAUCUGUCUGACUGGUGACGUCAGCAGCCCGUGUAAUCCUCUUGUGCUGAAGGCAGAUGCCUUAUUUGUUUGGCUGGAGCGAGCCAUUAAUCCCUAAUUCUGGAUCAGCAAGCGAGGGGGAAAGACCGGACCGCUCCGACCCACCCCUCCCCACCCCCACCUCCCACCUUAAAGCACCUUAUACCACCGAAGCCUCUCAGCCUUCUCUUUCCUGGGGAACACGCUGCGGAGAGACUGAAAACGGUUUGGUCCUCUGCAGGUUUGAGCAGGGCUGGCAGGUCUUUCUCCUUCCUAUCGCUAGGGCUGUGUGUAUACGUAAUUCUGUCUCUCAUCGAUCGUUUCGAUUUUCUGGCUGGGACUCGCGGAUCUUGCAGUUUUCAGGGUCCUGAGCCACGAAGGGAUGGAGACUGGAGAAUGUGGGCGCGACGUGGUCUUGGGGAGGGCGCGAGGCAGGGAAAGGGGCGCGGGAUGCGCGAAUGGCUGAGACCGCGCGCGCACUGCUGCAGCUCGGAGACCCUGCUCAGGACGCGGCGAGUCCGAGGGGCCGGCUCUCCUCAUCGCCUGCUCUGCCUGGACCUGUGCUGUCCUCCAGGCGCCGGCCCGACUCUGCGCACUGCGGGUUCGUCUCAGCACGCAGCUGCAGCUUGAGGACGGAGAUCCGGAGCCGGUGACCCUGGUGCUCACCGAGGGGCGCCUUGGAGUCUCCGCGCAGCCCCGGCUCUGGGCGCCCUCUCCGGUACUGGGAUGCAGCGGGAGCGGCCGUUCCCUCCGGGCCACCGUGCCGCCUCCCGGGGACGCCGUGAACAGAGCCGCGGCCCGGCCGCCUCCGCCCGCAGCGCACCGGGCUCCUCCCGUAGAGGUCAACUCCCCUCACCCCGUCCUUUUUCCUGUCUGCACCUCUCUCCGCGGGCCCAGCACUGCCCAGCACUCGGGCCCUGCCGCAGUCUGAGGACCGCGUGUCCGCUGCGCUGCGGUGGCCCGGUCCAGUCCCCCGGCCCGCCCAGACCGCGGUCCGCACUCUGGGCCGGUGGGAGAGUUUUAGGAGAGGCUUUUCUCCAAGCAGCAAAACCGUACCCGGACCAGAUGGGCGGCCCAGCUCUCGGGGGACCAGGCAGGUGCCACUGAGUUAAUUUUUCCGCAUUAUAAAGAAAGACGACCCAGAGCGCCCCUUGGAUUCUUUUCUUUUCCCGAAAUUUCCCCACUAAAACUGCGGCAGGGUUCUCAGAGGACCCAAGAGGAGGCGGGUCCGUGGGUCACUCUUACAUACGCUCGGACGUAUUUAUUUUUCUUUUCUUUUUACAUGCUCGAUAUCCUCAGAAGCAGGAAAUGAUCGACGAAGUUUUGAGCAGCAGCUCAUGUUAUGUCUGGGUCCUUAAAAGUCUGCUGUUCUUUACCAGUGUCUUAGGAGAGAUUCAGGGUAAAACGACGUGAAUAAUUGCCUUCAGUAAAAUACACAAUUACAAAAUUAUACCUCUACCUGAAGAGCAAUUAACUUCUAUCCAUGCCAUCAUUUGAAAACUGGAUUUACAGGCGAAUAUAUGUUUUUAGGUGUGCUGUAAGUGGCAUGCAGAUAUAUGCACAUGUAUAAGCAGGCGCAUGAAUCCUCUGCAUUUCCACCCAGCAGACUAAUUAGCAGCGGCUCGGGCAGAUGUGACUGCAGGCGAGCUGAGACGGCAGACUUGUGAGAUAAGUAGGGACCCAGAGCCUGGGGGUGGGGAGGGCGAGAAGAGAAGUGUGGUCAUUGCAGUGGGUCGGUUCCUUUCCGGAUCAAGAACAGAGACUCUGCCCUCCGUGUUCACAGCGGACCUUGAUUUAAUGUCAUACAAUUAAGGCACGCGGUGAAUGCCAAGAGCGGAGCCUAAGGCUGCACCUAGAGAACCUAGAGCAUUUCAGAGACAGAAAGGGGGAAAGAGGCUUGCAAGGGAGUUUGGCGAACGGUGGCAUGAAACCACCCUUUGCCACAGGAAGAUCAUCACAGUAACUUCACAACGAAGCUGCUGUUUCAAAGUGAAAGAGAGUUACUUUUUAGUAAAAGCCUCAGAAAUCUGCAGGCAAAUUCCAACGGUGUCUUUAAGGGCUUCAUUGACACCUGUCAGGGCAUUAGUGGGUUCCCAUUUGUGUAAAUAUUCUAAAGCUUUUAGAAAGAAUUUGUUUUUCAAAAUAGGAGUCUACAAGUUGGUCAAAUUGCAGGAAUAAAAUAGAAGAGAGGGGAGUAUGGCAUAUAUGACGCCAUAACUACCUUAAGCAACAAAUCUAAAAUUGGUUAACUGUGGAGUGAAGAUGUAAACAACACCCUGCCUCUAUCUGGCCUUGACUUCUCCCUUUCUCUUUGCUGUCUGGAGUCAGCCUCCCUAGGGUUAACACCCCAGGAUAGUUUCCUUGUUUUCCUACAGUGACAAAGGCUAAAAUCAGUCCAAAAAAAAAAAAGUAGAGUAUGGUAAAAGGGACAGUUCAGGAACUUUAGAAGGACACGGCACAUUAUUUGUAAGCCUGUAAAGUAACUUGUGUUGAGGUAGGUAGUUCCAUACCACGGCCUUGGAGCCAAAGGAAAACCUAGGCUAAAUUUUUUAAAACCGAGUGUUGAUAGAUGUCUUUGUUCUGCCUUGGCCUGCAGGGGCUGGGAACAAAGGAAUGGAUCCUCCAGGGUGCUCCAGGGUGGCCGCGCCCUCCCUGCCUGGCGCUGUCCGUGGUGCUGACCCUCUAUUCGCUCCAUAAUUGAAGCAGAAAAACAGUACUUCUCAUCCCUACCUAAAAGAGUUAACAAGAUGUUAGGUAACCUGCUAAAUAAAAAUUUAAAAGAGGGAAAGUUCACACAUAAUGAAACAACAUUUUACCUAAAUCGUAUACUCCAGCUAUUGCCACACUUCGCUGGGUACUUUUCCAUCUUUAGUAGGUACUCAUCUUCAGACAGUGUAGGUAGAUUGGGAAAAAAUUUCAGUUGAUUUAGGUUGAAACCAAAAUAUGUAUAAACAAUGAGCCAGACUUGCAAGAAAGAGAUGGAGGGAAAAACUAAGACUUUUAUUAUUAUUUUCUUUCAUAAAUAAUCUCCCUUAAAACCCAGAAACAAAGUUUUCAGCUGUGGAUCUUAGUGCUGAGGCUAAGAACCGGCUCAGGGUGAACUUGAAGUUUAUCAGGGAGGAAUGGGAUCGGGAGUGAUUAGGUGAGACCUGGCAGUUGUCAACGCAGCCUGGAACCACUCUCCAAGCUCGCACCAGGACAGCCUUCCUAGGUGGGCCCAGAAGGUUAAGCUGCUCCAGAGGGCUGCACUGGUCGGUGCACUGCAUCUGCGCCAGCGGGAGGCAUUGCAGCAUCCGGAGGCCUAAAACCCGCACUGCGGAAAAACCAGCCACAGCAGCAUCAUCCUAUUAGUCCUUGGCGACAGGAAAUAGGCAGAAUGGCUUAGUAAACCCCAUGCAAUGAAGAUUUACUGGAGUACUUCAGUAGUCAAAGGCGGAUGUGCGGGUAUUGACAUUUUCAACAAUUUAAAAUUCUCAGCAUAUUUUCGACAAUUUAAAAUUCUCAGCGUAUUUUCGACAAUUUAAAAUUGUCAGCGUAUUUUACCAUCUUGGCUUACACACUGAGAGUAUUAAUAUAAACCAUAAAACAUAAGCACCCUAAUUAAUGAAUCAAAUGGGAAGGAAAAAAAAGAAAUGGCAAAUAAAUAUGUACCUAGUCUGGGUUCACAAAAGAAAUCAUACGUGUUUUGUGUUAGCUGAUAAAGUCACAAACGUAAACUGUGUUAAAAUUAAUAACAGAUAAAUCAAUACAAAUUGGGCAAUAGAGGGAGCAACACUGAUUUUUUGAUCCAUGUGUGGAAAUGCAUCAUCCACUGACAAUAGCCAAAAAAGAUGUUUCCAUUACAUUUGUUGUUUUACACCUGAAUGAUGACGAGACAUCAAAUGAUUCAGGAGACGAAAGCAUCCAAGCAUAACGUUCUCAGCGGUCUACUUCUGUGCCCCCACCUUCGGGCAGAUUUUAUUUCCCUCUCAUUUCAAAAUUCUGUGAGUUAGGUCCUCUGUUGCAAUAACCACUUAGGCUAUAUUUAAUUUUAUAUAACUUGAGCGGGAAUGAGUAAUCCAUGUUGGAAAAAAAAGAUCUACCAAAAAAUUUUAAGAAAAAAGAAAAAGGUUAGGAUUAUUUCUCUUUUGCCAGUUCAAAGCAGCAAUUGGCAAGUGAAAUGGAUUAAAGCAGCACAGGUUAUCACAGACAGCUCCACCUCCUCCCAGCAUUCAUUUGGUUCUCUUGAUACCCUGCAUCCACUCCCCAUGUGAACUUCACAAAGCAGGUUCUAAGGCUGCAAAAUAUUUCUGCCUGCAUUGUUAUAAUUCAUAUUACAUAACAAGAGCACACUUAAUCCUCCUCACCCUAAUCCUACCUGUUUAAGGAUGUCCUAAACUCUAGAUUUAAAAAGCUUAAUCACUAAAAAUUACUUUCUAAGAGAAAUGAAAUAUAUGAUAUGAGCGGUAGUGCUUAAAUAAGGGAACAAGCACAUAAUACAGUAAUUUAGCUGCCAAGGGUAAAUCCAGAGUGGUUAUUGAUCCAUUAUGUCUGAAGACUUUAAGACUAUUUAUUUUGAGUUUCAUUCAAAAAUAAUCAUCCAGUUUAAUGCCUCUUCCAAAUUGUCCCUGGUAUGAAAUUCUACGCUCAGCAGUUUUGCGCUAAAACGACCCAAGCUUUGCAAUUGGAGAACUUCUGCACAUAGUGUUGUAGGAGGCUUUUGACAAUCACAACUUUCAUCUAGUGGUCUGAAAUUAAAGCUCCUUGGAAUAAUUUAGAAACAGCUUGACCCGUUGAGAUACUCAACGACAAGUCUCUCGGGAAAUACGUAGUAUUAUUUCUUUCCUGGGAGCAAGGUCUAGCGCAGUGCAUCAAGAAGUAUCUGUUGUCAACAAUACCAGAGCGCCCUCUGCUGCCCGUAUAAAGGCAGCACACAAGUUACAAAAGCCAGAUGGCACUAAAUCUCAAUGAAAGGAGGAAACAUUAAGCUCUUAAGAACAUUUAAUCUGUGAAAUUUAAAAGCUCUCAUCAUAUUCUGCUUCUGAAAAGGCCACCGGAUUUUUAUUUUGAGCACUUCUUGGGUGAUUUCCUCCUAAUCUGUAGGGUAAAGUCAGUAUCUUGAAAUUUACUGUGUCAGUUCUGUAUUCGUAUUUUAUGUCUUUCUCAAAUCUUAUUUGGAAACAUAAAAUAGCAAAUCACAGUGAAAAAUCUCUGUGCUAGGAGUUGAAUGGAGAAAGAUUUUCCUAUUUUUUCCAUUCCUAAUUAAAAUAAAAUACAAAGCAUAGAUUAAUUAUUUUAAAACUAUAAUUUCAAAAAUUAAGGAAGUCGAUAUAAAGAAUUAUCUUGUUGUUUUGCUUUGAUAAUUAACUGGCAUUUUGCUCAGUCUUUAAAUUUGGGAAUAAAAUGUUCGUGUUUAAGGAAGAAGUUGAGAAAUUUGCAUUGCCCUUAUAUACGGUAUUUUGCUCUGGAAACCUUCCUAAUUUACAUCCGUACUCAGUUCACAAAGAAAUACUCAGAGAUGUAGAUAAGGUAACAGAACGCACAAAUCCAUAAGAAGUGUUAUUUGCAUUAAAAUGAGUUUUUCUUAUUGAAAAUUUGUUCUCAAGUGAAAAGAAUAUUUAUUAAAAAGUUAAACCCCUUUUUAAUUUUUAUGUAUUCUGGGGAUUAUAUUGAUUAAAAUAGUGUACAGCUGUAUUAAUUCAACAGAGUAAAAUUUAAAAUUACAGCUUAUUUUAAGACACACAUUUUUUGCAUACACACUGUUAUUGACUAUAUCGGUGCUAAUAUAAUCAAAUGUGCUUAUUAAAUUAUUAAUGAUGUGCUUGUAAAUAAAUCUUAUAAAAUAAAGUUCUGUUUAUUUUAUGAUAGCAGAGUGAAAUAGCUGUCUAAUAUCCCUUAUUUUAAUCUUAGCUUCUAAAUGAAUUUCAACAAAGAUACUAAACUAUACAGUUCUGGCAAUAUUGAGCUAAAAUUAAUAAUUAUUUGAUUUUACAAUUAUCUGGGAUAGAAGAAAAAUCUUGGUUAAAUAAUAAAGCAACUUAAAUAUUUGACCAAAUAUGUCAAAUUCUGUAUAACCACAGAACAUUUGUCUUCAGAUAUUUACUUUUUGAAGAAUGUAUUUGCAAAUUCAUGUUAUAAGAAAUUAAAAAAGAAAAUUGAUAAAACUUUUAUGAUUUAAGCAAUCUUUUAUAAAAUAUUACAUUUUAUUUACUAAGUUUAAAUUUAUUUCUAAGAAAAUUUAUAUUUACCCGAGAUAAAAAAAACACAGUAACAUACUUUUAUGAUAUAUUCCUAACAGUUUUGAUAUUUGAAAAUAAUUUCAAAAUAGAUAAAAUGCAUAAUAUGUGUUAAGAACCCUUCUUAUUUUAAAAACUGUUUGCUAUAUUCUAAAAGAAGGAAUGAAAACAACCAAACAAGAAUGUAAGAAAGAAAAGGAAACAAAGGAACAAAAGAAAUAAGAGUUUCUGAGAUGUCCAACAAAUGCUGCCUGAAUUGAAAGCCUCCCCAGUUUUCACCAAUCAAAUUUGUAUUUAAGAUUUUUUAAAUUUUUUAUUUAUUUAUGUAUUGGGUGGUUUUUUUUUUUUUUUUUUUUUUUUUUUUUUUUUUUUUUUUUUUUUUUUUUGAGACAGAGUCUCACUCUGCAGUUCAGACUGACCUUGAAACUCACUUUGUAGCCCAGGCUGGCCUCAAACUCAUGGUGAUCCUUCUGCCUCAGCCUCCCCAGUGCUGUAACUACAAGGAUGCACCAGCAUGCCUGGUUACCUUUUUUAAAUUUUACAUUUAUGCAAGAACAGCAUAACUGUAACUUAAAGAUCCCUCUUAAUUUCCUCUACCUAUUGAAAACAUUUGCUUCUAUAAGAGUAAUAUUCAUAGAAACAGUACAUUUAUAGGAAGCACAAUGUAACACAAACAACUAAUUAUUAAAGCUUUUACUUAAGAAUUGUAAGCAAGAACAUUCACCACAAUAAUUAAGUAUUUUCUGAUGUGAAAUUAACAUAGAAUGUAAUACGUAGAGCACUCGUAUGUAUGAACAUACAGCAGCAGCACACAUGCACACACAUGUACACAUCCAUAUCUUCCCUAAUCAUAGACUUCAGAUUAGAUGGAAUGGGCUUUAAACUGUUCAACAUCUUUUUAUCAUGUGUUCAAACUCAGCUAUCAUCACAUUUUUCAUCAACUACUGUUAAAUAGCUACUACCAUAUAGAAAUAUGGCUAAAUAGGAAUUGAAAAUGGAACAUUUAACAUAUAAAAUAAAGAUGUCAAGAAAUCGAAAUUAAUUAUCUUUAAAAUAGAAGGUUGGUGGCUUCAAAUUGCUUGGCAAAUAUUUGUAUUGAAGAACAGUAAAAGAAGUUGAAAGCCUAGUUGUUAGCAGGUGGGUGAAAUAAGAAUCAACUAAGUUGCUGAAAUUCAUGUAGAAAGAAAACAAGAAAAUAAUGGACGUCAAUUUUCUUUUUGAUAUUCUAACAGAAGUUGCUAUAUUGAUGCAGGAAAAUCUUUGGAAUUAUUAAGUAUUAUUUAAAAGACUGUUUCUUCAUUGGAAUGUGGUGCAAUUUUGGUCUUGCUGAGGUAACAAAGACAGAGAACAUACUGGAAAUCAAAUUGUCAAAAUAUUUAUUUUUAUCAUUGUACUUCACCCUAUAGAUUUGAGAGAAUUUUGAUUUUGCUUUCCUAGUUAUUGGUCAUACUCUUCUUAAUUAUAAAAUUGUAUGUAAGUGCAGUUCUAUACAUAUAUAAAUGAUAAGAUAAGUAUACCUAUAGAAUAUAUUGGGUAAAAUGUUCCUCUGCCAAUUUGCUUAAAUAAAAAGUUCAGUGCUACAAGAAAUAAAAAUGCGGUUUAGAAAAUUGUUCUUUGCUGAUUUUAGUGUUCUAAGUAGUCAUCAUCAUGAUAUAUUUUUAGACAGGAUCUUUAAUUUGGGCUCAAUUACAAUGCUUUUUAGGAGUUCACAGCACUGAAGAUGAAUGUGAGGAGUAAGAGUCCCACACCAACGUGAUAACCGAGAACACUGAGCAAGGUCGAUUCAAAGGUGAUGAAGUUUAGGCUGCUAUGAAACUCUUAGGUGGAGAAAGGCAUUCUCUCGCCUAAAGCUAUAUAAUGUCAAUUUUCUAGUUAGAGGAACUUCUCGCUUCCCAGGACAUCCUUGAUCUGACUUUCUCCUCUCAGUUUUUGGAACUAAGCUAUAAUAAUUGUCUUUUAAUUGUCCAAUCGAUAUCAGGUGAGUAGAGACUGGUGGCAAGAAUUUCAAAAAUAAAUUACUCACUAUUUGAAUCUUACAAACCAGUAUUUUUAAAAGGGAUUUUAAUUUCACAAAAGGGAUUAUUUUUACCUAAAUUUUCAAUUCAGAAAGGGUAAAUAUUUGUAAAAGCCCAACAAGCAUCAAGACGCUGUUAGUUGGGUAGGGAAAAAGGAUUAUGAUGUAUAUAUGAAAUAUCUACUUUAGUGAUUAUGUUUAUUUAACACAAAGUUGUGAAUAAUUAAAGUCAACUUUAGCUGUAACUUGGAAACACCUCUUCCAAAGUUACCUUACAAUCAAGAUAAUCUACCUGAUGAAAUUACAUGGGACAAGAGAUUACUAAUAAUCAUUUAAAGUGGCUGAUAAAAUAAGAGACAGUUCUUCAUACCUACUCCAGCUGUUAAUAGAAAAAAAAUUUCUUCAAUGAUUAGUGUUUUCUAAAUUCCCUUUCAGUGAACAAAAUAUUUUUACACUGUCUUUCUCGCCCCACCUUCUUUCUCUUCUUCCCCUUAGUUGAUAAUGGUACUCAAUAUGGUAAGUGAUUAGAUCAACAACACUGAACAUAUCAAGCAAUCUUAGAGGCAAAGUUCAAAUUUACAGACAGAAUAUACAUAUGAACUUGAAUUUAUUUUUAUUUUGACAUCUCGUGUCCAUAGCUAAUAUCUAAGCUUCCUGAGAUUUCCAAACAUAGAGCAUAAGUUUGGUACUCCUUUUACUUACUGUGUGCAUACUUACUGAAUGUCCAGAUCCUUUCCAUAUGUUAACUACUUUAUGAUAAAUGCAAAAGAUGUGAUUCCUAUUGUGACAGACCUAAAUUUCCUACCAUAUUAAAUUUCCUGCCUUUUGAACUUACUUUUUAUAACUUAAAUUCUUUUAUUUUUAAGUGUCUCCACACCAGCAACUGAAGUAUUUUGUGAGUAUGGUAAGAAAAGAUUUGCAUUUUCCUUUACUACUAAACAAAACCAGUAGGUUACAUUUCCCUACUUCUCUACCACUCACUUAAUAAUGAAUGCAUUUUGUUAUCCUCUUUCAAAUCAGUUGAAAAAAUAUUGUUAUAAGCUGAUUUAUAUUUAUAUAAGCAGAUUGGCCAUACAGUAAAUUGAGACUUUGCCUCAUUUGUGAUUUCUACUUUUUUUACUUAUUGACUGUAAACAUUUACUUAUAUUUUGUCAUACAUUUUGACUUCCAUAUAAUUUGUACUGUAUAAGUGUUCAUUCAAACUGUAAUUUGGUUCUUAUCCUUUCUUUACACGUUUCUGUAACUUUGUUACUUUCAUUAUUUCCCUUUUCCUGUUUGUUUGCUUUGUUUCUUGCCUAUUGUUUUGUUUUGUUUGUUUGUUUGUUUGUUUAUUGGUACUGGGGAUUGAACUUACGACCUCCCUGGCACUUACCAGGUAACUACUUGUGCCCUGAGCUAAAUCCCCAGCACUCCCACUUAGUAUUUUAAUAAGUUAUCUUUUUAAUUAUCAAAAUUUCUUUCAAUGUAUAUCCUAUUUUCUACAGGGCAUUGAAGUAACUGAUUUAUAAUAACCAAAUGGUUAAUUGGUUUUCCCAAAUAGAAUAGCAGUGCAUUUCAAAUCUAAUGUAGUUAUUGAAAUCAUCAAAAUAACUAGACCAACAUUUUCAUGGUUUCAUUAUUUCACACAUUUAUGAUUAGUUUUAAAUCAACUGAUCACUCAAAUAUUUGACCCAAAAUACUUCCACAGAUAUAAUUUGCAGGCUCUUCAUUAUACCACCUAAUUAACUGUGAAUAUUUUAGAUAUUUGGCACCUGAAAAAGUAGUCAUAUCUCGCUAAUUUAUUGUGAAAUUGUUGGUCACCAUCUUGACCUAUAUCAAAAUAGUCAGAGGUGUCCGAUUUUUUAAGGCAGUGAUAGACACUAUGUAUACCAAUAGGGGUCAUAUAUCUUUGCUGUAAAUUCUGAUUAUUUAACUUAUUAAAAGUUACAAGAGUUAGAAUUUCUACAACUUUGGAAUACAGCUGGUAUAAUAGUAAAUAUUGAGUUCAUGUGCUGAUAAUGUAGUCUGAGAAUCUAUAUUUUAGCUGUAACUCUUACAUUAAUUAGUUAAAUAAUCUGGUUUACUUACUUUCCUUCACUGGAUACUGGUUUAUGUGAACUGGAUUCAAGAUUCUACAUAAUAUGACAUAAGUGUUAGCUGGAAAGUUAGUUUGCAAAUUUAGGUUUUUAGGUCCCAACCUCUAAACUUCAUCUGGUCAGGUCUAGAACACAUUUCAACCAGCAACAUAGCUGGUUCUGAAGUAACUGGUCUGUAAUUUAAAAAUUAUGAAUCAACUCUUCAAACAUAUUUCUAACCCUAAGCCUUUUAGCUAUAAAUUAAAGAAAAUUAACAAUUCUAAGACAAUGAAUUUUAUCACCAGAUAAGAAAGUCCAGAAAUAAUUGGUAUCAGCAAGUCUUGUUUUGAUAAGAAUAGUGUGUAAGUUUGAAUUCUUAAAGAAGUAAAUGUCAAACUUGGGUUAAAUUUGCACUCACUAUAUUAUGGAAUACUUCUCUAUAAGAAAAUGAGGGGCCAAGCAAGCUGUCAGAUAGCACAACAGGGCCGAUUUCUAAUGAGAGACUUGAAAAGAGGGAUACCAGGGUCUUCAAAUAGCAUAUAAUCUAGGCAGUCUUGGUAAGGCCACCAGAAAGUCCUUGAACCCAUGCUGUCAGAUGAGUGGACAUAUUCUUACAAGAAUAUAUCUAUUAUCUUUACCAUAAUUAGUCUCAGGUUAGAAGCUUAUGGGAAACAUGGCCUCUCAACAUACGUAAUCAUGAAUUUUAGUGUGCAGUGUUUAGGCCUUUAGUUAAUUUUAUUCCCUAAGACAAACAUCUACAACUUAUAUUUUCAUGCCCAUUACAGAAAGGCAAGUCACUAAUAUUGUGAGAAUCAGUUACAGGGAAAUUUAAGAGACUUGUCAGUCAUCACAUGGAAAAAAACCCACAGAUUUUAUAUGAGUAGGAUCAGCUAGCAGUAAAAGAGACAGGCAAUUUUAAAAGUAUAGAACAUUUUUUUUUUGCUCCCAAAACAUAGUUAAGAUGGCUAGGUCACUCUACAAUAAUGAACUAGCCAUAAAUCCCACUGGUUUAAAACAAAACCAAAAGAAAAAAAAAAUGGUAUCUUGCUCAUGCUGUAUGCUAUUUUAGGCUGGAGAGGUACUCUAUUUGCCCUAAUAUUCCAGAAGGUCAAAUAACUAAACUUUUAUGGCCUAUAAAUGCCAUUAUUUCAAAUAUGUGAUCCAUGACCUCCAACAAUAUAUUAGGAAAUAAAAAGCCCAAUACGUUGAUGCAGAAGUAAAUGUUUUGUUCCAGAUAUAUUUGUCUAUAUCUAUCUAUCUAUCUAUCUAUCUAUCUAUCUAUCUAUCUAUCUAACUAGAAUCAGUUAUAGAAUAUUGUAAAAAUUUAAAUUGUAUAUGUAUUUUAAAUGUUUUUUUUUUUUUUUUUUUUUUUUUUUUUUUUUUUUUUUUUUUGGCUUUUUCGUUUUUAUCGGUACCGGGGAUCGAACUCACGACUGGCUGCUUUCAAGGCAGGCGCUUAUGCCGCUGAGCUAAAUCCCCAGCCCCCGUAUUUUAAAUUUGACAGUAAUAGACACUGGUAAACACUAAUAUUGACCAAAGUAAGAUUUCUUGCAAAUCGUACCACCAGUGCUAAGCAGAAAUCGACUAUAUCAUCUUUUAGGAUCCUGAAAUUUAGGUAUCAAAUGUAAGUGAGAUAGACUUCAAGUGCUAUUUGCAUUUUUUAAAGGCAGUGAAGUAUGACAGACCAGAAAGAAUUUUUCAAAUAAACGAUCAAGAAGUCUUAUUUAAAAGUAAGCUCUUUCUUUGAAUUGCUGUAUGAUUUUGAAAUUCAUCUGAACUUUCUGAACCCUUGUUUUCAUAUCUAAAAAGUGAGAGAAUGAAAUUACAUAUCCAAAUUAUAUUUCAGAAACCAAUUAAGUCUAAUAAUGGUCACAUUAAAAACAGUGGAAAUGCAAUAAUAUCGUAGUAUUUGUUCAGAGGAAAGCUCUGUGUUUUUCUUCACAUGUAGCAAAUGAAUAACAUCACUGUAAGACUAGAUUCUAGUCAUUUGUUUCCAAGUUAUUCACGUAAUUUGUGAAUAAGGUCUCCGUGAGAAGUCUAGGGGAACACGCUCAGGAUGUCUGCACUACAGCCUCAUCCUCUGAACAAGACAUCUUCUACUCAGCUCCUCAUAAGUUUCCAUCAGGAUCAAGCUCAAUACAACCAACUCCCAGAUGCUACUUUGAAUUCUCCCCACCCUCCCCUACUCCAGUCCAGUUCCCUGAACUCAUUCUCCAGAAAAAUUACCUGCUGGCAAAAGUGUUUGCCUUAAUCAGUGCUUCCUCAGGGAACCUAGGCUAAGAGAGCAAAGUGAUCUCUAUCAAACAAGUGAUAUAGGAUCAAAGACCACUAGAAACUUGAGUUCUUUUAUGUUUAGCCCUAACUCAUUAUUUAUAUGUCUUCCCUGUCAGGUUACUUCCUACUUCUCAAAAGCUAGCAAGAAUUCUUCCUAGGGAUGGGUUGUAACUUCUUUAGUUACUACAUAGACAAAAAUCAAAAAUAUGAAAAGCCCAAAUAGUAAUGGAGCUGCUAAUUAAGAACUGGGAAACAUCCCAAAGCUCCAGUUCAGUUUUCCUGUCUCUGUGCCUGUGAUGGAUGGAGCUGGGAGGGCAGGUACAGUGAAAGGGAUCCAGGUGCUUGCAAUUCUGCAGCCAACUCUGCACUCUUUAUUUGUUAAUUUAAUAAAAAUCAAUGUGUGCCAUUGAGGAAAGGAAUAAAACACUCCUAAAAAUAUAGAUAAUUAUGUAUUCAACAAGUAAUUAUAUAAACUCCAGCACUGCAAAAAUAAAUAUAGGGUAAACAUACACUAAAUAUUAAAUAUAUUAAGAUAUAAAUUAAAAUAUUAAACUACAGGUAAAUGCACAGAACAUAUAUCCACAUAUACAUGUAGGAAUAUUAUAGACAUAAAUAAUAGCCUUGAGGUACAACACAUACUUUGUGAAGCUUUCUUAACAAGCAGGGUCAGAGUCAAACCCAAAAGCUGAGAUUUUUCUUUCUUGUCCUUCUGACCAAUCAACCUUAGACACAAAUUCAGGGGAGAGUAAUAACAACAGCAUCCAAACUAUACUGAGGAGUAGUAAAGAAAACUGAAAAGCCUUCAGAGGGAACACGAAGAGACAUGUCACUUGCAAAAUACUGAGAAAAUUUAGAGAAUCCAACACUGACCCAAAUGGAUUAGUCCCCAUUUAGAUAGAUGUUCAUGAAAGUUGGUAAAUAUUUUUUUUUAUUUUUUAAGGAGGCAUUCUUUAAUAAUGGACUUAUUUAAUGCAGUGGCACUAUGUUUUUAAUAAAGCAGGCUAUGUUCAGCAAAUUUAAUAUUCACUGGGUCUUAUUGGAAUACUAUACACACCUCUUUCGCAUUUGAUAUAUCAGUGGUAUAAACCACAGCAUAUAGUUUACUGCAUAAUAAAAUAUCAGUGUGCAGCAAACUUUUACAAUGUGCUUGCAGGCUCAGGAGAAAGUUUUAUUAGCCUUAGUUAUAAGAGAUAAUAUACAAUUACUUCUUGGAAAAGUUGUAUUUUGUUUAAAAAUGUUCAGCAAGUUCUCAGGACAUGUGCUGUCAGGGUUAGGAAGGAGCCAUACAGAUUCUUCAGAAUGAUUUGAAGCUCUUUAAGGAUGACUGUAUGUGAGUUCAUCAUUAUACACUCAUAUGUGAUAGCAGCAAAAACAGGAAUAUAAACCCAAAAACAGUAUUUUUAAUGAUCUUUUCUAAUAUUCAUUUUCCAACUUCCAUUAAGAGGUAAGAAUAGUGGGGAAUUUCAUUCAAAUCUAUUUACAUGUUUAACACAAUGAUAUACGAUAAUUCAUCAAAUAACUAAGAAACAGAUUCCAUGUGAUUUAUCUAUUUUUAUUCUUAUAUAUUUCCAUACAGCAGCUCACCUUGGUGUUCAUGGGACACUUUAUCUUUGUGUAGCCCUAGUGUGUAAACAAUGUGGGUAUGAGCAUUACAUUAAUUUUGAGACUGAAAAACUAAAAUAUGCUACAUGAAUCAAUUAAUGAUAUAAUCUAAUCAUCAAUAAACUGUGUCCUCUAAGAAAUAUAAUUUUAAAACUCUCUAAAGUAGUAAAAUCCAUUAAUGUUUUUUAACCCUGCUGUUUUUGAUAGUUGGCCUCAGCAGUUUUUCCAUCAGACAGAGGCUAAGGAUGCUAUCAAUUCUAUAAUCACCAGGGUUGCCUACAGUGGUGAUUCAGACACAGUUCACUUGAGUUCCUUUCCAAUCAAAACAACAUUAAGCUUCAUUUGCCUACCACUUACUAGAUUUCAACACAUUUUCCCACUUGAGACUUCCAGGCUUCACAACUGUACUCUGAAGUAUCAUUCUUGAUUCAUACAGAGUAGGAAACGGUGGCACAGAGAAAUGGUAAGAAGCCAAGCAACAAGCAGUGGUAGAGCAGAAGGGGUGCUCAACUAUUUCAAUGCAAUUUUCUCUCCUUGAAUUAUGCUAAAUUGAAGUUUCCUACUGGUAUUAUCCCAGCUACUCACCAACCUCCACUGUCCAAGACAUAUCCAAGUAGCAUGGUCAUAACUGUCCUUGCAUAUUUGCUUCUGUGUUUGUGAAACAGUGUCUUAUCCUCAGUUUGAUCAGAUGUUGAAUGUUAUGUAUGAUAUAGAAAACAAUCUCCAUAAGAACUUCUCAAAAAUAUAAUUGAGUCUCCUUGGAGUAUAAUUAUAUUUUAGAAGUUUUUAUGCACAUUUCUCUGAAAGUAAUAUUAAGGAGUAGCAUAAGAACACGUUUGACCCAUAGGCACAGAUUUUCUUUGCUAUUUUAAGGAUCAUUUUUGAGGUCAUAGGGCAAUGAAAUGCAGUGUAAAGAAGACUCAGAAAUAUUCAGAAAGUACAUUCUCUUGGACCCUUCAUUUAGUUUCAUGGUGAAGUCAUCAGGCAGUAGCAAAAGAAACACAACCAUUAUCCUCCAAUAAUCACAUUCUUUGGUGGUGUAUAUUUGAAAAUACAGUAAUCAGCACUGCCCACAGAAGAUGGUAUUUCAACCAUGCCUCAUUAGCUUUUGUUUCAGAGUAAUACUUUUAUUUAGACCUAGGUGCUGAAGACCAGCUUGAUGCAGUGCAGAGUAGGCAGUAGUUAACAUUAGUAAAGUGACACAAAAAUAAGUUGAGAGUCUGUUUAGGCCUGUAUGACUUGUGGUAAGACCCAGAGCUGGUGCACAGGCUGCUUAAUCUUUAAGCCAUGGCCAGAAUUGAACUCAGAAUAGGGUCUGUGAAGUUCUGGUACCUCAAACAUGGAAGCUGAGGACUUGAAUCUUACAAAUCUCUUCUAUAUCAGGAGUGGCAGUUAGCAGAUAAUCAGCUUACUAGGAGCUUGUCCUGUGUGCUUUUCCAGAAAUGCAUUAUUUUUCAAUCCUUAAACCUUGUGUCAGCAGUUCAUCAUCACCUCCUGCAGCCCAUCAGCACAUCCUCCAAUUAGGCUGCCACCUAAUAAAGGCCAAAGACUGGUGAUUUUAGCCCUUACUGGGCUUUGACCACCCUAGUGCCACUUGUAACUAAAAAAUAUAUAUCUCAUCUGUUUUACCCUGUCAGAGUGCCCCUAAGCAGAAGGUAGGUGGUCACUGGCCAAGGCCCCAAAACUUAAAAAAAAAUUUAAAGUUUCAUUUUAUUCGAGUAAUGAUCACAAAGUCACACCUCCAAAUAAUAGUGGAUGCUAAUGUGCUGGGGGUUGACAUAUUUUUAAACAUAAAUUAGAACACAUAGCUCUUUUUCAAGCAAAUUCUGACUUCAUCACAGUAGGAUAUUGAUCUUGGUAUUGAAUUUUGAUUUUUCUCUUCUGUUUACCCAAAAUGCAUCUCUUCCUUCCUUUUUGCAUAUCUAUAGCUUAUCAUUCCAUCAAUACCCUGAUCAAAUUCAUCCCUCCAGUGCUGCAUUGGCCAGACUGCGUUAUUAAUCUUUUUUUAAGAACUAUAAAAUUUAAAGCUAAUCCGAUGAUUUCUACCACUUAGGCAUAUUGUAAACAUGCCUUUCUACACGUGUGUUAUGUUAGGACAUACUUUUGUGAACAACGUAGGUAAACAAAGUGUACUCACUGAUUUAUUCCACAGAUGGACAAAAUAAAUACUAGGUAUCAUUAAUUUUCAGUAUUUAUUUUGCUUGUAGUUAAGUCAGCAUACAUAUGAGUUAUUAUUCACUUACUAUGUGAAAGUAAAUUAUGUGAGGUCCAAGAGUCUCAUGAAAUAUUCCUGCCAAUGACUGGAAAUAAUAUUAUAAAAUAACUGUGUGUCAAUUUCCUUCUCCCUCGUCUCCAAAAUACCCAUUACUUUUCAGAGAAAGCUUACUGGAAGUCCUCCUAUCACAACUCAGCUUCUCCCAGAAUGCAUGCAAACUCACAGAACACAGAAAGUAUAGGGGAUAUUAGGGUUGGUAAACCUAGGCUCACUUCUGACUUGUGUCAUUUAUUAAUGGCAAGGCCCAGGGAUUUAGCUCAGUGGCAUAAGCACCUGCCUGGCAAGCAUGAGGUCAUGAGUUUGACCCCCAAUACCAAGCAAACAAAACAAAAAAGUAAUAUUUGUUAAUGGCGUGAGUGUGAACUACUUCCUGACAUCUCUGGCCCUCAAUAGAAACCCCCAGUUAGUCUGCUGGAAUGGAAUGAGGUCAUCAUGUCUAGCACUGUGCCAUGCACACAGUGAAUCUUAAAUAAAUGCUUCCUUUUUCACUCCUCCCCUCUUUCCUCACACCUUUUCUCCUAGUUUUAUCCUCUUAUCUCAAAAUUUAAAUUAAUUUUAUUUUUCUUUCACCCCAAAUCCUGCUUAUAUAGAUGAGAGUGUGUAUUCAAGGAAGUGGACAAGCCAGGGAGAUUAUAGGAAGCUUUCUAGGAGUUCUUUCAGCAGCCAUUUAACUUACACAUUAACCUGAGCUUGGUUUGAUAAAAGCACAAACAAUGCUUUGCAAAAAAAAAAAAAAAAAAAAUACUGCUGCCAAUUGCCCCCAAGGUUCAGAAUUUCCACAUGAAAAACAAAAUACAAAUUCUAAAUUUUCCCCCUUCAUCCUCUCAAUAAUGGCUCUGAAAGUCAAAGCAGCCAGUAUGAGAAUAUUAAGCUUUCAAAACAGUUAGACAGGGGCUGGGGAUUUAGCUCAGUGGCAUAAGCACCUGCCUUGCAAGCAGGCAGUCGUGAGUUUGAUCCCCGGUACCGAUAAAAAAGAAAAAGACCAACAAAACAAAACACAGUUAGACAAAAAACUUCUGUAACUGUAGUAUACCUAAAAGAGAGACAGUGCCAUGUCCAGAGGCUGAGCAAGAUAUAGAAGUCUCAGGAAGUAGAGCAGAACACAGCGAACAAAUGUUCUGACAUCCUAUAAAAGAAAAAAAAAAAAAAAAAAAAAACAGAAAUUUAAUGUGGUUUGAGACCUGAUUCGAACAAGUAGCUGAAGCCAAAAACCUUGAAACAGAUACAGAAAAAACAAGGAGUCUAAAGAUAAUUGAAACCUAUAAUUUUGUACCUGGUACAUUAUUUCUAGAUUACACAAGCAACUUAGGAUAUACAUUUAAAUCAUCACAUCCAGGAUAAAGGAAAAUUUCACUGUAUUUUGUGUGAUGUUUCUAGUGAGUGUAGAAUAACUAAUACUUAUUGCUAGCAAGAACCAGUGAAUUCUUCAAGCAUGUACAUACAUUAAUUUAUUUAUUCACAGCUAUAACUCUCAGAGGUUACACACCCAUGUUUAUAGAAGCACAGUUUAUGAUAGCUAAAUCUUGGAAAUGGCCCAAAGGCCCAUCAACUGACAAAUAAAUAAAGAGAUGUAGGUUUCUUAUAAAAUAGAGUACUAUCAGCCAUAAAAAGGGUACAUUUGAGACAUUUAUAGCUAAAUGGAUGGACUUUGAGACCAAACUGUUAAGUGAAAUAAAUAGAAUAUAUACUAGAUAUUAUGAAAUAAGAAAGAAAUGCUCAGUUGGGAAGGAGAACAAUGAAGAGGAAAGAAGGGAAAGGAAAAUUGAGAAUAACUCUCAGAAAUACACACUUUGAGUUUUUUCCUGUUUUAUUGGAAAAAGAGACAUAUUGUACACUUAAGUUUUCAGUGUCACUCAUUUAGUGAUUGGUAAAAUUUAAAUUAGACAUAGAUCGAAAAUAACAUAGGUGAUGAACAACUGGUUUUUAUUUUGUUCAUAUUCUGUUUGAUCAUGGGCUAAAAUCCUUUAAUAAAUCUGUCAAUAUUUUUCUUUCUUUCUCUGAGUAUAUUUUUAAACAUGGUCUCCUUUGUAAAGCUUUGCGAUUAUUUGUUUUGUAUUUCUCUCAUACACUAGAUUGAGAGCACAGUGAAUAUCUUGUAUGUAUUUUGUUCUAAAACACUAAAUGAGUGCAUAUUCAGAUGGUACUAUUUUUACAUGUCAAUUAACAGUUAAAAUAAAACUACACUAUUUAAAAUUGAUAUUGUGAUAACAGUUGUCAAUAAUCCUACCUUAUCUAGAUUCUUAGUUUCUCAAUGACAAGAUAGAUAAUCUAGCAUAUAUCUGUAUCUUUCUACCCUUCCUAGGAAUGGCCAUAUGAUUUGUCCAGUGUAGGUGACACAGUAGUACAGGCAUUCAAAAUACCCCUGACCUAUUGUCUACUGGUUGGACUUCAUCAAGAGGGUGCUGGAGAGAUAAUGCAACUUCCUGCUACCAUUUCUUUCCAAAGCAGAAUUUAGAGACCCGAGGACAGAAAUAGAGCUAUAAAAAUAACAGAAAUAUUCUUAUAAGCAGUUUCUUUCCUCCGGGGCUUAAUCUUUUACUGUGCCAAGGAAACAUUGCAAACUAAUAGUUGGAGAAAAUAUGUAGUAAACAGAGUCAUCCCCAAAUUAUCACAACUUGAAGAUCCUAACACAACACAGUAGACACUUUUGAAGAUGUACAUACCCAUGACCAGUAUUAGGUGUAUGCCCCACUCUCUUACUCGUGCAUGAACAAGAAAGCUCAUAUGGUAUUAUUUGUGCUACAAAAAAUUGUAAAUAAAUUAAAUGACCAUCAGCAGGAAAGUGGAUACACUGUCAAAUAUUUAUGCACACUGAAAAUAACAUAUAUUGACACUCAUGAAUCUCAAAAACAACUUUCAUUGACAAGCAAAUUGUAAAAGAAUGCACACAGUAUUUAUAUGAAUGUUAAAAGGUCAUUAAACUGUAUUGUGAGUACAUUCAUAUGUGAUAAAGAUAUAAAUAAUUGCAUGGAUAGAAACUUUAGAGAAAGGUUGUCUUUAGGGGGAAAAAAGGGAGUUAACUCAUAAAGUACACAUAUAUGACAUUAUUCUUUUUAUUUAAGGCAUGCAGAAGGUACAUCAAUGUCACCCUAUUAGUUUUUACAUUCUUUUCAGUAUCUUAAAUCAGUAUUUCUACAAGCAAAAGACACUGUUGCCAAAAUAGUUCCCAGUAUUAAAUUUAGCAACUAAAAUCACUGUUUUUAAAACAAACACAAUGGGCCUAGUCUACUACAGAGGGAGUGUUCAAUAAAGGAAUAUAGAACAAAUAUUGUAACAAAUAUAUUUCCCCUCACAUUCAAAUAUAUUCAAAUACAAGUUAAAUGUUGCAAGUACAUUUUGGGUCCAGAAAAUGCCCUUGGCAAUGUUGUGAGAAAACUGUAGUCAACAACAUGCAAUUAUUGAGAUAGUCGUUUCUUUAACUCUACAAUUUCUGACACAAAGGCAACUUAAAAUUUGGGAGGAGAUGACAAAAAGAAGCCUGAGACUGAAUUGUUCAGGGAAGUCUAAGUGCUCCUCCCCUGCUUGAAAUUAUGGGCAGCUAAUUUUAGUCUGCACUGGCAGUACUUAUUAUAGUAAGAAAAUGAGCUCCAUAGAUUUAUUAUGCUUUCUGCUUACUAUUUUAUUUUUAUUCUCUUUCAAAUGUAAAUCUUUGGUCCUAGGCUAACUGGAAAAGCAUUUUUUAAAACUUUGGUACAAAGAAAUGCCUAAGUACAAGCCAGCCCUGAGUAAGACAUUCUACUAGAAUCCAAGGCGUAUGAAACUUUGGCUUUCAUUUGGGUUAAACACUUGUCAACUUCCUGAUGAGAUGCAAUUAUAGAAAUUUAAGAAAGAAGGACUUGUGAGGAGCUUUCAGAUGAUUUUGCUAUCUAGUAUCUUCUUAACAGUAUCUUUUAAAACAAGAAGUCUAUGAUGAGCACCUACAUUAGAAUAAAUUCUUCCCACAUUACAUUGUCUUUAGUUCUCCAUCACCCAGACAAAAAAAGAGAGAAGACAGUCAUUGAAUAUUUUUUUCUCACAAAAGGCGUAUUUCUUCAUGAGGCUUGGUAAGUGCUUUAAUCAAAAGAGAAAUUUUCAAAAUAUUUAUAGUCCUUAGCCUUGGAAUGUUUUUAAGUACUGUGAGAAAUACUUUCUAAAUUUAAAAAUAUGUAAUUCUAAUGAAUUUAGCAACCAUAUCAAUAAAUCCUAACUUUUUUAUUGUAAUGUGAAACUCUAUUUUCGUACAACUCUACCAACUAUAUUAGCCCUUUGACAUUUGAGUUAAUCACUUAAUAAUGUCUCGUAUAUCUUUGCUAUAUGUUUAUUACAUUUCUUCUAGGUUCUUCUAUGGUUUUGAAAUCUCCUUUAGUUUCUACUGCUUAAGGAAGUACAAAUAUUGACAUAUUUGAGAUAUUAGUAGCCAACUGAAAAUUUCUACAAGAAAACUUGGUGGAGAGUUGCCAGUGGAUGCUUUAUCUUUUGAAAUACAAAAUAGCUGGAUCAAUUAAAAUAAAAUUACAAUACCCUUUGUUUAUAGUCAGAAAAUGCCUGGCAGCCUCUGACAAGAAGUAAAAGUCUUCAUAAUGUUUAUCACUUAAAAUAAGUUUAAAUUUCUUACAAUCUUAAAAUGUUGCAGGUAAAUGCACUGGAGGAUAAGUGCAUGAAGCUCAAUUGGUAGAAAUCUUUUGAAUCAAGUCUUAAAAUCUAUAAAAGGCCAUGAGAUACUUUUCAAUAUGAAAACCAGAGUUGAAUAUUUUUAUAUCUAUUUCAAAGCAUAUGAUAUUUGCCAUAAAAUAUGUAGUUAAUUGCAAAUUUUAUCAUAGAUAAAAUAGAUAAAAAUUAUAUAUACAGAAUUUCAAGAAUGUGUAAAAUAUACUAUUAUGCAUCUUCCAUCAUUAACCUAAAUAGGUAACUAUACUUGUAACAGACAUCACCAGUACCCCACACAGCUAAAAAUUCUUCCUCAAUACCAUUCUCUUUCCUCUAAAUCACAGGCAGCCACCAUCCCAUCUUUCGUUUCAAUCAUUCCCCAUUUUCAUUCAUAAUUCUACUAUUUAUACAUGUAACCCCAAGCAGUAUGCAGCUUAGCUUUAAAAUAGAGAAGGAAGUUCAAAUAUAACUGUGUGAGGCAAAGGUAGCAUUAACUCAAACAGAUGGAGGAUUUCAGAAAAAGAGAAACUAUUUUGAGACUGAAAAUAGAGUUUUAAGACAAUUUAUAAGAACUCUUUGGAGGAAAUCAGUGAGCAAGUUCACAGGUGAGUCCUAGGCCACACAGGGGUCACAGCUGUGGUGAUCUGGCAGGGCUGAAGUGUAUGGUGGGUUUUAGGUGUCAAUCAGGAACAUAAGCUGUUCUGGAUUUUCCAUUUAUAAGCUUGCUAGGGUCCAUCUCUUAGGAGAAAUCUAACUCAAAUUACUUUGAUACGAAGAUCCAGCAAACAAAUAGGGAAGAACCAAAACUUCACGGAGAGCUUCAACAAAAGCCUGAUGUGAAUAGGGAUCUUGGCCCAGCUUGCUGGAUAUUCUGUCUGCAGGAUGUGAAGUGAGUACAGCGAUGUCUCAUAACGGGAGGUUCAGCCUCACCUCAGGCCCUCUGUAUUGUGUAUUCCUGAGAUCUUGGGGUCCCUCUUCCAUUCUCCUGGAUUUCCACUAAAUCCUCUUUUGGAUAUCCUCUUUCUUGUGUCCCUUGAACUCCUCUUGUUUGCCUUUUCUCAUACUUAGAGUUAUAUAUCUUACGCUUGUUUCUUGCCACACUAAUGAUGAGAGCUUUUAAUCAGAUCCCACAUUUUGAAACUGUCUUCACUUUCAUGCUGCCAUUGGAAUAAUUUUAAAAUGUAAGUCGGAAGUAAGAUUUCCAUGAAAUUUUGAAGGUAUUGUUCCAUUGUUUCUGUGCUUCAUGUGUUGCUGAGUAACCCAAAAUUAUUUUUAUUUUCUGUGUUGACUUUUUCUUUCUAGAAACUUGUAGAACCUUCUUUCUUUCUUCUUACUAUUGUAAAAUUUUCAACAAUGAUCUUUGAUGUGUAUCAAGUUUACUCAGAUUUUUUAAAUUGUAGUAUUUUGGGUACUUGGUAGACCUUUCAAAACUGUUCAUUCGUCUCUCUGGUCUAGGAUAUUUCAUAUAUUUUCUAUAUUCUUUUUCUUCUGUAUUUGUUAAAUUUUGAUAUUAAAAAGUUAUUUAACUAUUUUUUGUCUCCUAUCAUCAUUUAAUUAUUUAUUGCUCUACCUUCAGGAAGAUUAAAUCAGCAUAGUGUUUUUCAUUUUGAUUUUUUUCAUUUCAAAGCAUUCUUUUAUUUCUGAAUAGUUCCACUUUUGUAAGGCUUCUUACUUUUGUUUAAUGCAUGCAAUAAUUUCCAUCUUUCUGAUAUGUUAGAUAUUACUAAAAGGUAUUUAAAUCAAUUUAAUUAAAGUAUAGAUUACAUACACUAUUGAGUUUUCACAAAGAUAUAAUUUUGUGUAAUUACCAUAAUCAAAAUAUAAAUAAUGUGUCUCCCAAAAGUUCUCCUGUGUUUGUUCCACUCAUUUUCCCCCCACACUCUUGAUCUCAGGAAAAUUUAUGUCUGUUUUAUGGCACUAUGGAUUGUGUUCAUAUUUCUAUAAUUAAUAAUAGAGUAUUAGUUUUCCCCCAAAUAAUUUGUUUCUUUCAAAUUGUUAUUUUUCUUUGGUGCAUAUGUUUCAUUCUGUCUUUCAUAUAGAGGCUUUUCAGAAAUGCUGGUCACUCAAUCUAUUCCAAACAAAAGAGAGAAAUUAAAAGAAGACUAGAUCUGAACACAUGAGCUUUUUGCAAUAUUGACUCCCGUGUGGUCAAAAUUGGAAUUCAGAUAUCUGAAGGUAGAAUGAUGGAUAUUCCAGUUCUGAAAGAAGGACUGAUUUUAUAUUUCCUGCAUUUAUUCAUCCUAUCUUAAUCCUCAGUGCAUUGAAUGAUGCCAACUCACACUGGAAAAGUAAAUCUGCUUUAUUCAGUAUGCUAAAUCUAAUGCUACUACUCUCUUUCAAACACACCAGGAAUAAUUGACAUAAUGUUUUCCAUUACAGACUUUUGAGAAUCCUCGUAUAAAUUAGGCUAGUCCCAAUUCUCUCUCUUGUCAGCUUUCUGAGUGCUGCUGACUCAAAUUUAUCUUUCAAAUUUCUAAAACUUUAUUGCAAUUGAUCUCUUUAUUUUUCUUCAUUUCAAGGACUUAUGUCUGUCUUUUUUUAAUCCUUUAAUUUUAUUGCUACAUAUGCUUAGAGAGGAUAGAAUUAGAUUUAACUGCCAAUCUAUUAUCUUAACCCAAAUUUCGCAUUGUUAGACAUUUUAUACUUUAUCACAUGUAACAAAAGAAUCAGUGCAAAUUAAUGAAAUACAUAAAUUCUGAUUGAGUAAAGCGUGUCCCUUUCGAUUUCUAAUUUGGCCAAUAGAUAAUUUUCAUAAAAUUUUAUAUUGUUGAUAUGUCAUUUUCCUAAUAUAGAUUCAUUGGCUUGGCAUAAAUUUUGGAGUUUUAUAUUCAGUAUGGUUUUAAACACCUUAAAAUUUUAAAAUACAAAUUAGAUAAGAAUUUCUAAUUAGGAUUUUGAGACAGUGAAUUCAAGUGCUCGGAUAUAUUACUUUUAGAUAAAAUAUCACUAUGUUUAGAUUUUGUAUUUGUUUAUGAAGCAGUAAGUUUUUGUUCAGCUGUGAAUACCUGAAAAGAUAGCAGGAAGUGGCUAGUUGGGAUUUUACUUCUAUGCAUGAUGCCUGUUGUACACAGGUUAAACACAGCUUAUCAAGGAGAAAGACCCUGUGAGCAUUCUGAGAGUAAAUGCCAGUCUUUAACUAUGAACCUUCUGAGGGCAUACACUCUGCAGAGCAAGGCAAAUUGCUGCCAACAUAGGUUGAAAACAUUCACUGGGGACAAAAGCAAAGGCCACGUGUAGUGUUACUAAAGUGUUUAGUCUAAGGUUACAGAUAAAAUAGAGACUAUCAAAGUUAAAUUUGAAUUGUAUAUGAACAAGAAGUAUUUCAUUUUUUUAAAUUUUAUUUAAGGAGGAAAAAAAAGCAGAGAAAGGGUACAAGUUAUACAGAUUUAUAGAAAAAAUAAACAGUAGGAAAUCACUAGUUAAUGGAUUACAUAUUGUCAUCUUAGAAAUAAUUGUUCAAGUCACAAAGUUAAAGCUUGUAAAGUGGACAUUCCAACAGUGAGACUGCAAACAGUUCUGUUCAAUGAUCCAAUAAAACUCAGUGAUAUCAUUUUCUAUCUUAUACACUUAAAUAUACAUGCAGUUAUAUCGUUUAGAGCACUUUCUUUUCCUCUCUUUUGUACAAUGACAAUUACACAUUUUGGGUUUUGUUGCUCCCACAGUUCUUACUACUUUUUUGGAAGGGAGUAGAACCAAAUGUGACCUAACAGAACAGAGUCAAUCAAAUCAAAAGGGUGGACAUAAUAGAUAAUGUAAAAGCAUAAUACAAGGUGAUCAAUAAUGGUUACCAUAAUGCCUCCUGCCAUCUCUAAUAGAAUUGCCUAUAUCAUCAGUUAUAAUAAAAUUGAACAAAACAGUAAAGAACAAAACUGACAAAACCAAAACAUUGGAGACAUUAUAGGUCUUCAAAAGUAGAUAAAAGUCAAUGAGAAUGGGUGUCAUAAUGAAUCUCACUAUCUUCACAGCUGUUGCUUAAACUUUCGAACCUGGUACUAUCAAGCAAAACAGAAUAGGGGGACAUCAGUCAAAAACAAGAUGGUGAGAGUAAUACAGGACUUUAAAUCAAGAUAAUGGAAAGUCAAAGUGGGUUACUAUAAUAUAUCCUGCUAUUUUUUAUUUAUUUUUCCCUUAAUUAAAAGGAUAAAAAUAAAAAAGUAAAUAAUGAAGUGGAGAUUGAGAUAAAAGAGUACAUAACAGCGAAACAGUGCAGAUCAAAACAUAACCAUUUAAGCAGAAUAGUGUUUCACCAUAAGAUAAUCCUGACAUAAAAGUAGUUACCAUAUUGUCUCUUUCCUUGAAAUUUUUGAGUAUAACUUUGUAUACUGUAGCAUCAAAUAUAUCAAAACAAUGUAAAACUAUUUAAGAGAAUGACAGCAUUACAGGAUAUUUAGAAUCAACUAACAGAAAAUGAACAAUGGUUUCUGUAUAAUCUCCUUGUCUUUAAAAGUUUUUGCUUAUACUAUCGUACAUAAUAAAAUCCAAUAAGAUACAACCUGUUUAGACCAAUGGAGACAGAAGGACAAAAGCUUGAUGAGACUUCAAAACAAGAUGAUACUAAAUCAGUAUUACCUAUUAAGAUGUCAUUUUCUCCAAAAUAGCUGUUCCUAUCAUCCAAUCUUCUCUACCUCUUUUCUGUUGAGCUCUUUUUCUGUCAUUAGUUGUCAGUUUGUCUUCUUCAUUUUGUUUUCUGUUCCAUUCAUUGUGGCCUCUAUGCCACUGUUUCUGGAUUCUUUGUAUUUUUCUUUUUUAGAAUAUCCUGCAGUAUUCUCUGUAUAGUUGAAUUGGUGGCUGCAAAUUCCCCUAGUUCCUCUUUAUCCUGGAAGCACCUUGUUUUUCCAUCAAUUUCCAGGGAUAGUUGUGCAGGAUAUAUCAAUCUUGGCUGGAGAUUAUUAUCUUUCAAAGCUUGAAUUAUUUCCCCCCACACUCUUUGUGAUUUGAUGGUUUGUGCAGAGAAAUCUGCUGUAAUUCUGAUGGGUGUUCCCUUGUAAGUGGUGUGUUUCUUGUCUCUGACAGCUUUUAAUAUUCUGUUCUUGUAUUGAAUUUCUGGAAUUUUUAUUAUUAUAUGCCUGGGUGCUGCUCUGUUUGGGUUGUAGGUGGCUGGGGUCCUGUAUGCCUCAUACUUCUGAGCAUCUUUAUCUUUUGCUAAAUUAGGAAAAUUCUCCUGGAUUAUUUCUGUGAGUAGCUUUUGUAGCUCAUUUGUUUGUGUCCCUACUUCUUCUUUUAUGUUCUUAAUUCUUAAGUUAUGGAUCCUCUUAUCAUCUUCUAGUCUUUGUAUUAUUGCUGUUUGUUUCUUUGUUACUUUUAAGAAGUUUUUUAUUUCAUUCUCCCAUAUUACAAAUCUGCCCUCCAGUUCAGAUAGUCUGUCCUUAGUUUCUUUCAAGCUGUUAUGCCAGUUUUCUAUAGAGUUUUUUAGUUUCCUGGUAGUCUCUUUGAACCUGCUUCAUGUAUUCUAUGCUUUCUCUAUUUUCUCCAUCAAACAAUUCUCCCCUCUUUUUCUGUUCUUCCAUUCCACCAUCUGUUUUUUCUUGGGUGGUGCUUAGCAUUUCUCUAACUAUUCUGCUUAUUUCUAGCUUCAGGUCAUUAAUAACUUCAUUCCUGAACUGAUCUAUGAGGCUCUCUAGAUGGCGCUUUAUGUCUAUUGGUGCAGUGUCCGCUAUUGCCUGUUUCUUAGGAUUGGGGGCCGAGGAGCCUUUCUUGUUGCUGCCUCUUCCCAUAUUCUUUGUUCCUUAUAUAUGCAAGCUUAUAUAGGAGGCCCAGCUUCCCUCCCUGUCAGCCACAGCCUGAUUGAAUUGCCCCGGCUAGGUUUUCCCGCCCACCGCAGCACACCAGGAAAUUGUAGACCAGGCAGCCUACUCGAGGCCCACCCCUCCAGGCCACCCUCAGGCUCUGGGAUCUGGGUUGUGCUAGCCUAUUGGGUCUCCACCAGCAGCGUCAUGUAGGCUAGGCACUUCUCACCAAUCCCGCUUGAGAGGGGGGAUAUGUGGCUGAAGUCGCUGCAGCGCCCCACUCCCGCAAGUCUGCCCAGUCCCAGAAUGUCUUCCGCUGGGGUCUCAUUAAACUGUGGAAGAGUGUCAGUUUCUCUCACUCACCUCACCGCAAGUUAAUGCACAGCUCCCCGCCCAUCCUGUUUUCAACUCUGUUCACCGAUUCCCGUUCUCAGGUCUCUCUCCCUGCAGAGCCGAUGUAGAUGCAGCUGCCGCGUGGCGAGAAACCCAAAUCGUGGCUUCCAAUGGUGCGGGCUCCAGCCUCCACACUGAGGCCCCUCUGUUCCUGUUCUAGCACCAGGACUGCAUUCCAAGUUGGUUUCUCUCAGCCCAGUUCGUUCCUGGGUCAACAGAGCAUAUCUCCACCUGCUUAUGACUCCUUAUUCCGCACCAUUCCUGAAUUCUAAGCCGAGUCUUUCAGAGAUCCUCCGUAGCUGCUGCUAUCUGUCCGCCGUGCUCUCCCAGAAGUCACAAGAAAUAUUUUAGUGAAGCAUGCCCCAUACAAUAAUUACAACAUUCUCAUACUGAAAAUAUUAUUUACCAUCUAUCCAGAAUUAAAAUUUAACUGAUGAGGUGGGCUUCCAAAAAUCUGGUUAUAAAGGUGAUGACCUUCAAUUUAAAAUCAGAACAUCUAAUGAAAGUUUGGACCAGAGAAAUAAAAAUUAUAAAACCUGUAGGAAAGGUAAUUUAGAGCUCAAGGUGACCAGCUGAGUAUUCAAGGAUCGAUAAAAUAAACAUGAAGAAGAGAAUAAUAUGUUCCAUAGGGCACAUACAGAAAACAUCAUGGCUACUCAGUAGGGCAUAGGAGAAAUCCCAGUGUCUCCUUAGUCAUAGAUAAGAACUUCAAAAAGAAUAAGCUCCUUCAAAAGAAAGCUUUGAGGAUGAAAAACACAAGACAUGCCUGACUCUUCCUUUUUAUAUUAUGACUAUAUGACACAGGCAUGGUUAAGCUUGGUCCUGUCACUUGCCAUAGACUUCCUGUUAUGGUUUGUGUUUUAAUAUCCUCACAAAGCCUCAUACAAUCAUGAAGGAGCAAGCAUUUUCAAGGUGGCUGAGUCUAGCAUUUCUGAUUGAUUAAUUGUCUAGUGCUGCAAUCCACAGUGUGAGUGCCACACUCACUGAGGAGCUGGUAGCUGGCAUACAAGAGAGUUGUUGCUUGCAGCCACCAUGAAUGAUUGUCCCUUAGCCAUACCACCUUGCCUUGGAUCUAACUGAUUAUAGACUAAAGCCUUCCAUGAAUUGUGAACUAAAUAAACCUUUCCUUCCUUAAUUUUUGAUGUAAGGUAUUUUAUCUCAGCAAGGAGAGAAAAGUAAACAAGACAGAACUUGAUACCAGUGGAAUGGGGUCAUUGCUGACUGCACCUGACCAUAUGGUUUAAGAGCCUUUAGGAAUGUCUUGUGGGAAGAGUUUGGAAAGGUUCUGAGAUGUCACUUGAAAAGAGUUCUACUGGAAUGCCUUAGGCUGCUCUGUAUGGGACAUUCUAGUCAGAACUCAGAAGAUCAGAAGGCUAGCAAAAAUCCUGCUGGUAAAGACCAGGCUUUGAAGGUUUCUUCUGGAAAAAGGACUACAUUGCUAUUGGACUCCAGGCAAUAUGUGUUAUGGCUUGACAGAUAGUGUAUCUGAAUUUUGCUCCUGUCAAGUGACUUUGCCUGAGACUGAGAUUAAAGGAAGUGUGCUAAUUAAUCUAGCAAAGGGAUUUCAAGGCAGUCAAGUGUUAAAGCCAUGGAAUGGCUAUUGUUGGAAACUUUUCAUCAGGUUUAUGUAAUGAAUUAAGAGCAAAGAUCCCAGCAGGAUUAUUUAAAACAUUGUGAAUUUGGCCAGAAAGGAAAGUCCAGUAAAACUGUGAACUGUAAUGAUAGAACUGUGAUCUUGUUAGCUGAGAAAUAAUAGAAAAUCUGGCCUAUAGGGAUCACAGGAAGUGAUGACUUUCCACCCUUGCCACUCAAAACAGAAGGGAAAGACUUUGCUUUGAGGAGAAAGUCGCAAAAUGUCAUGUUCUAGAAUGGUGAUGGAGUCUACACAAGUUUCCAAAAUGAUGGCAGCCAAACUAGGUCCCAGAAUGGCAGCAGUUUAGAGAAUUUGUUCCUCAUAAUUGGAUUCAGAGUGUGCAGUUAUUCAGGCACUCAACCCCUAAAGCCAAGAGAGAAGAAAACCUGGCUGCCACUACAGCUGGCAUCAGACCUUGGCAUCAUCCAUGUGGCACUGGUCUUAGAUGCGUACAACAUACAAGUGUUCUGAAUUUGAAAAGGCUUUCACUCUGAUUUCAGAAGGCCUAGGAGGUCAGGCUGUGUGCCCCUGUGAAGGCAUUGUGUGAAACUGUGUGAAGCCGAAGGUGCAAUGGAGAACCUGGAAGCUUAGAAAAGUCAGGAAUGCAGAUCAUCUGGGAAAUCUGUAAGGAGGGAGCAAAGUCAGUCCAAGAGAAGUUUUUAACUUUGUUUUAAUUUGUAUGGGGUUUUCAGAUAAGAGUUUGUCUUACAUCUCUCUUGGGACUUGGUAUUUUCAGCAAGGAAGUGUGUUGGUUACUUUUUUGUCAUUGCUGAGACAAAAUGCUUGACUCCCAAAAUGAAGUAAGGAAGAUAGAGUCCAUCACCAUUCUGGAACAGUUUCAGCUAAAGCUGUUAGGACUUUGGCAACUCUUGGAGAUGGACUAAAUGUCUUUCAUAUAAAGGAUAUGCAUGAGUCUUUGGGGGGCCAGGAGUGGAUAGUUAUGGUUUGUGUUUAGAUGUCCCCCCAAAGCCUCAAGCAGUCUUGGGGGAUAAGAUUUCCAAAAGCAGCUGAGUAGCAUUUGUGAUUGGUUCACUGACUAGCUCAGGGAUUGUUAAUGUGAGUACUGUACCCACUCAGGGGCAGGUAGCUGAUAUAAAACAUAAGGAAGGGGAAAAUCGUGCUCUUGCUUUCUGCUCUUUUCACUCUUGUUGCUUGUAGUCAGCCACCAUGAAUGCUUGCCCCUUAGCCACAUCACCCUGCUUUGGAGCCAGCUGAGUAGGAACUGGAAUCUCCAAAACCUGUAAGCUGAAGAAACCUCUCCUUACUUCAUUUUGGGAGUCAAGUAUUUUGUCUCAACAAUGAGAGAAGUAACCAACAUGCUUCCUUUCACUUCCGCUCAGUCUUCUCAGUACCCACCCAUUCAAGGAUGCACUAAGAUAACUUAUCUAAGUGUCUUCAGUUGGUUACUUAGUGGCCAUUCUUUGACCUACAGAAGGUUCAACUUAGCCAUCAGCUAUGUUGCCCUCCCUGCUCCAUCCAACUGCUCCAGACAUUGGUGCCUCUUUGAAGAAGUGUCAAGAAAACCACCCGUAAUGUGACAGAGAUCAAACAGGGAUCUAGAACCUUUAUUCCCAGCCUCCUCAUUGUGAAUAAAGUUAGCCUUUCUGAAGAUUUCCUAGUUUGAGCCCUGCUAUUUUUUAGAGAUGAAACAGCUGUUAGUAAAGCAGUUCACAUUUCUGAUGUUCCCAUGAACUACUAUUAUUACGGUACUAAACACAGGCCUACAUUUGGGCCAAUCACAAGCCUUCAUCUAUUGUAUAAGUAGCAUUUCCCUCACACUUCUUGGAUUAAUAUGGGGGUACUCCCUCUCCUACACUGAUCCACCUGUGCCACCUCACAGGUCUCGUUCCAAUAAAGUCUCAUUCUGGUAGGACUAUAAAUCAGGUUGUGAUCUAUUUCUCCUAUAAUCUGGACUCAAAAAGUUUUGUAAAUAUACUUCUCAGGAUUGUUAUCUUGAGUAGCGAGGACUGAGAAACUGAUUUAGAAGAAAGAGCAAUAAAAGGUUUCUGUUAAAACACUGCUACUCCGGAGCACUCCAGAGACUAGCAGCCAACAAAGAUCUGUGACAGAAAAUGACAUCCAAGUGAAUUGAUUGAUGGCAUCCAGCAUUAACUGUUGAAGACUAGUGAUAUUAUCACCCUUAGCAAAACUACAGUUUGAAAACUCAUGAUUUUUAUCUGAAUCAAGCAAAAGAACCCUCAAUUGAUUGGCUACUAUAUCUUUGCUUUUAGCAAUAACAAGUACAGAAAAAAUGUUUGUAUUGGGGUUAUCCAAGUUUAAAGGAGAAGACUUGCAAAGGGAUAUUAAAGUUAAAUUAUUAUAUUUGAAAUAAAACUUUUUUAUAAAACCA